Molecule: small nuclear RNA, 109 nt
Organism: Trichechus manatus latirostris (Florida manatee)
Lineage: Eukaryota; Metazoa; Chordata; Mammalia; Sirenia; Trichechidae
Source: RefSeq, a predicted model, not a curated record
UUCAGCCUCACAUAUACUAAAAUUAAAUAUAUUGGAACAAUACAGAGAAGAUUAGCAUGGCCCCUGUGCAAGGAUAACAUGCAAAUUUGGAAAAGGUUUACACACAGAA